GAUGAAGAACGUAGCGAAAUGCGAUAAGUAAUGUGAAUUGCAGCAUUCAGUGAAUCAUCGAAUCUUUGAACGCACAUUGCGCCCGCCAGUAUUCUGGCGAGCAUGCCUGUUCGAGCGUCAUUUCAACCAUCAAGCCCCAGGCUUGUGUUGGAGCCCUGCGGCUGCCGCAGCCUCCCAAAACCAGUGGCGGGCUCGCUAUCACACCGAGUGCAGUAGUUUACUCUUCGCUCAGGGCGUGUGGCGGGUGCUAGCCGUGAAACCCCCAACUUCUCAAGGUUGACCUCGGAUCAGGUAGGAAUACCCGCUGAACUUAAGCAUAUCAAUAGCGGAGGA
RNAcentral lists this unclassified non-coding RNA (333 nucleotides) under soil metagenome. RNAcentral's name for it is "partial contains 5.8S ribosomal RNA, internal transcribed spacer 2, and large subunit ribosomal RNA". The stretch from base 1 to 120 matches the Rfam family "5.8S ribosomal RNA", at positions 35 to 154 of the family's 154-position model. The record is from RNAcentral.